GACGAACGCUGGCGGCGUGCCUAAUACAUGCAAGUCGAACGCUUCUUUCCUCCCGAGGGCUUGCACUCAAUUGGAAAGAGGAGUGGCGGACGGGUGAGUAACACGUGGGUAACCUACCCAUCAGAGGGGGAUAACACUGGGAAACAGGUGCUAAUACCGCAUAACAGUUUAUGCCGCAUGGCAUAAGAGUGAAAGGCGCUUUCGGGUGUCGCUGAUGGAGGGAGCCGCGGUGCAUUAGCAGGUUGGUGAGGUAACGGCUCACCAAGGCCACGAUGCAUAGCCGACCUGAGAAGGUGAUCAGCACACUGGGACUGAGACACGGCCCAGACUCCUACGGGAGGCAGCAGUAGGGAAUCUUCGGCAAUGGACGGAAGUCUGACCGAGCAACGCCGCGUGAGUGAAGAAGGUUCUCGGAUCGUAAAACUCUGUUGUUAGAGAAGAACAAGGACGUUAGUAACUGAACGUCCCCUGACGGUAUCUAACCAGAAAGCCACGGCUAACUACGUGCCAGCCGCCGCCGUAA
This 523-nucleotide ribosomal RNA is filed under the name uncultured bacterium. RNAcentral describes it as "partial 16S ribosomal RNA". It matches the Rfam family "Bacterial small subunit ribosomal RNA", at positions 28 to 523 of the family's 1533-position model. The record is from RNAcentral.